Molecule: non-coding RNA, 551 nt
Organism: Onthophagus taurus
Lineage: Eukaryota; Metazoa; Arthropoda; Insecta; Coleoptera; Scarabaeidae
Source: RefSeq, a predicted model, not a curated record
AUAAACCAUUUUUAAUUUUCAAUACUAACAUAACAUCUCGAUACUUUAACAUUUCAAUACUAAAUGCAACUGAAAAAAUUCCAUUGCUAUGGGGAUGUCAUUUUGUCCAUGGUAGUUAGGUAACAUAUUACUGAUAUUACUUAAAGUAUUGUUUGAGAAAGCUAACUUUACACUGUUUUGAUAGAACUUUAUUAGAGUUUUUAUCUUUAUUUUUCUAUAUCUUUACAGAUAGUUUAUUGAUCUACAUAUUUUUUUUCUUUUCAUCCCUUGUAAAUAGAGUAAGGGAAAGAAAUGAUAUUGAGAUGAGGGAAAAUUCAGAACGUGAUACUAAUAUGGAUAUAACAGACAAGGGACUAUCAUAAGUUGCACAAAAGGUGAUGCUGAAUCUACUUGCCGACUCUAAUAAUAAAAUAUCAAUAUGACAGAUAAAGUUUACCAUAAGACUGAAGAAGAAGACAUCUAACAAAAAGAAUGAAAAUAAUGCAGAAUAUUAUUAAGGGUAUUAAUAGCUAGUAUGCUAAAUAUAAUCCAAGAACCCAUUUACCAUUUAA